AGUCACUGACAUUAGAUACCCCUGUAGUCCAGGGUGUAAACGCUGCAGACUUGGUGUUGGAAAUCCUUCGAGGGUAUUCAGUGCCGGAGAGAAGUUGUUAAGUCUGCUACUUGGGAGUACGUCCGCAAGGAUGAAACUUAAAGGAAUUGGCGGGGGAGCACCGCAACGGGAGGAGCGUGCGGUUUAAUUGGAUUCAACGACCGAAAACUCACCAGCAGCGACUGUUACAUGAAAGUCAGGUUGAUGACCUUACUAGAUUUUCAG
This 264-nucleotide ribosomal RNA is filed under the name uncultured archaeon. RNAcentral's name for it is "partial 16S ribosomal RNA". It matches the Rfam family "Archaeal small subunit ribosomal RNA", at positions 718 to 982 of the family's 1478-position model. The record is from RNAcentral.